This 6823-nucleotide unclassified non-coding RNA is filed under the name Hevea brasiliensis (rubber tree). Lineage: Eukaryota; Viridiplantae; Streptophyta; Magnoliopsida; Malpighiales; Euphorbiaceae. The record is from RNAcentral.
CCGACUCCCGUUUUAACAUAUAUUCCCUCUCUCCACAAUUGCCCUUGCCUCGCCUCAAGCAAUCAAACGCAACAAGGGUUUCUCUUCGCUCCUUUAGCUCACACCGAUCAUCCAUGGCUAACAACUCUUCCUCCGAUUCUCGCCACACUCUCUCCGUCGUUCCUCCUCACCAGAUCUCCAAAGAUGUGCAAGGAUCCGACAAUCCUAUACCUCUUUCACCGCAAUGGCUUCUUCCAAAGGCAAGUGAGAAUAAGUCUGGAGUAGGAAUUGGGGAAAGCCAUUUCAAUGCAUAUCCAGUGUAUGGGAAUCGCGUGGAGAACAUGAAGUCAUCAGGAAAUGGUGAGGAGAUGCCUGAUGCCCAGAAGAAAAAAGAUGUUUUCCGUCCCUCCUUGCUUGAUAUGGAAACUGGUCGUCGUGAUCGCUGGCGAGAUGAAGAAAGAGACACCAAUUCCUCCUUGGUGCGCAAAGAUCGUUGGAGAGAUGGAGAUAAGGAGCACGGUGACACCCGGCGGAUGGAUCGCUGGAUGGACAAUUCAUCAACCAGACAUUAUGAGUCACGCCGUGCUCCUUCCGAGCGCUGGACUGAUUCAGGUAACAGAGAGACUAACUAUGAUCAGCGGCGAGAGAGCAAGUGGAAUACACGUUGGGGGCCUGAUGACAAGGAGACAACAAGUGCACGCGACAAGUGGAUGGACUCUGGAAGAGAUGGUGACUUGCCUCUUGAAAAGGGGUUGUCUCAUCUUCCUAGUCAUGGAAAGGAUGAGAGGGAGGGUGAUCAUUACCGGCCAUGGAGAUCUAACUCCUCCCAAAGUCGAGGAAGGGGAGAGCCUCCUCAUCACCAACCUUUAAUGGCAAAUAAACAACAGGUUCUGACAUUUUCUCCUGGCCGUGGACGUGGGGAAAAUACUCCAACUUUUCAUUCUCAAUCUUGGGGAGCCACCAUGUUGCAUAAGGGUGAAAGUGGUCCUUUAAGAUAUAGUAGGACAAAAUUGCUUGAUGUUUACAGGAUGACUGACAUGAAAUUAUAUAGUAAACUAUUAGAUGGAUUUGUCCAAGUGCCUUCUCUUACACAGGAAGAAGCCUUGGAGCCACUGGCACUCUGUGCGCCUAAUUCUGAGGAAACGGCUGUUUUGAAGGGAAUUGACAAAGGGGACAUUGUAAGUAGCGGUGCACCUCAGAUGUCCAAAGAGGGUUCUUUGGGACGGACCUCGAUAGAUUCACAAUCAAGACGAGCCAAACUUGGCAGUAGAGAAGAUGUUUCAUUUCCUAUUGACAAUGCUAAAGAUGAAAAUGUUGACAAUUCAAAAGUUGGUUACGGAAAUUGCACAGAGGUAUCUUCCCAUGAAAGGCAGACACAGCAUCAUGGAUCCAAUACAGAAUUGGAAGCCAUGCUUAAUCAUAAGUUGAUUCAUGAUAACAAAUUAAAAGCUGAAGGUAAUUGACAGAUAAGUGUUACAUAUGAAGUCAAUUAUGUGUAGGAUUUUGUUAAACUAUGGAGUUGGUGCUUGAAAUGAUAAGUAGCUGUGCAGAUGACCUUUUUGUCUGCAUUUAAUAUUGCUAGAUAAAUGAUUUCAUUUCUAACUGUAGAUUGUUUGGGAUAAUUUUAAACACAUACACACACGCACCGCACAUGUACAUAGAUAUGUAUAUCUCUCUGUGUUUGCAUGCGGGCCUCUUAAAUUGUUACUAGCUUUAGCUUGAUUUUUUGAUUCUUAAUUGGAAAAAAUCAGAUGAGUUUCAGUGCUUUGGUUCUUUUUAUUUCAAAUUUUAUGUAUGUGAUUACUUUGUGAUGCAAUCUUUUUCCUCUUAGCUUUGACAUGUAUGGAAGUUUUGUCUGUAUAGUCUUUGUGCAUUUUUAUAAUUAUUUCCUUCUAUCUGCAGUUAUUAAAGAAGAUACUGGUAUUCACAGAAGGAUUGAUGAGCCACCUAUCAUUAGGGAAUCAACUUUGCAGGGAAAUAAUUCUGAGCAUCCUAACACUCCUUGGCGAGCCCAAUCACUGGGAGAACAUUUGCAUAUGGCCUUGAAUGACUGGAGAGAGAUUCCAAGUGAUGGCAGGUCAAGGACCUCUGAGAUGGGCUGGAAUCAACCUCAGAAAGAUCUAGAUAAUCGGUGGGACAGUAAUUUGGUUAACUCUCCGUGUCUCAAAGAUGAAGCAAAAUGGCAAGCCGGUGAAGAUCCCGUUAUUAGGAGGCAGCCAUCUGUGCUUCUGGAUAGGGAACAAGAAGCCAAGAAGCUUUCUCAGCCCUCACCGGAGAAUCUAGUUCUUUACUAUAAAGAUCCUCAGGGUGAAAUUCAAGGUCCUUUUUCUGGUAGUGAUAUUAUUGGAUGGUUUGAGGCUGGAUAUUUUGGGAUAGAUUUGCAAGUUCAGCUUGCAAGUGCAUCAAAGGACUCGUCAUUUUCAUUACUUGGUGAUGUGAUGCCUCAUUUGCGAGCUAAGGCAAGACCGCCACCUGGGUUUAGUGCUCCAAAACAAAAUGAAUUCACAGAUGCAGCAAGUAGGUCUAACUAUAGUAGUUUUGGAAAUGUUCAUUCUGGUCUAAGCGAGCUUGAUCUGGUAAGAAGUGAACCAAGGCAGAAACCUGUUUCGACAACAGAAGCUGAAAAUAGAUUCUUGGAGUCACUGAUGUCUGGAAAUAUAAGCAAUUCAUCUCAAGGUUUGCAAGGAUAUGUUGGAAACAGUUCUGCUAGUAUUGCCCCAUCGGGUGUUGAUGGUGGAAAUGACCUGUAUCUUUUGGCAAAGAGAAUGGCACUUGAACGUCAGAGGUCAUUACAUAAUCCUUAUCCAUAUUGGCCUGGGAGGGAUGCUGCACCUGUGGCUUCAAAAUCAGAAGUUCUCUCAGACUCUCCAAUGCCACAUGCAAAACUCUUAUCUUCAUUAAGCGACAAUCCUCGUCAGCCCCCUCAUUCUCAGAAUGCUGACCUGUUGUCCAUCCUUCAAGGCUCUGCCUCUGGCAUUAAUAAUGAUGUUACUGGUUGGUCAAAUUUCCCUGCCCAAGGAAGUCUGGAUCCUCUUCAGGAUAAGAUUGACUUGCAUCAUACCCAGAAUUUCCCCCCACAAGCUACCUUUGGGCAACAACAGAGGCUUCAGCCACAGAGACCACCCUCCUUAGCAAAUCUACUUGGUCAAGCAAUAGAUAGUCCAUCUGGUGUUUUGACACCUGAAGCUUUACUCUCCCCCAGUUUAUCUCAAGAUCCACAAUUGCUAAAUAUGUUGCAACAGCAGUACUUGUUGCAGUUACAUUCCCAGGCUCCUCUUCCAGCACAGCAGCUGUCAGUGUUGGAUAAGUUUUUGUUGCUUAAACAGCAGCAGAAACAGGAGGAGCAACAGUUGCUGAGACAACAGCAGCUGCUUUCUCAGGUUUUGUCGGAACAUCAUUCUCACCAACUUUUUGGAGAGCCACCAUAUGGACAGUUCCAUUCUUCUGCAAUAGCUACAGGAAACAUAUCUGCUGAUGCUUCUCGGCUUCAGCCAUCAAAAGAAAUGCUGCAGAUUGGUUCUCAGAUACCUGUUUCAAAUUUUCAAGAUGAACACCCUCCUGGCUUGAUGAAUUUUCCUCCACAAGUUACUCAGGAUGUUAGUUGUAAUGUUGAUACAGGAGUAUCUUCUUUCCAACUUUCGCAUCAGAUGUUUGGGAAUGUUAAUAGUCAACAAGGUUGGGGUACUAUCCCUGAACAGAAUGAUGAAAUGCACCAGAAGGAAUCCUUGCUAGCAUCAUCACCUGUAGAGAUAUCAUCUUCACAAGAGUUGAUGGACAAAUCUACACAGGAGUGUUCCAUUGUGCCUGAACCUGUACAUGCUUCUGAUCACCAUGCUCCUCUUUCUGUGGAGCAGGCAUCAGAAUACACUUGGAUUGAAGAAACUUCACAGGUUGCAAUUCCUGAGAUUACUGCAAAUGCUGUACAACUGGAUUCCGCUGGGAUCUCGGUUACUAGACCUCUAUCAGGAACUCAUGAGGAUGAAAUUACAAAGCUUGAACAUGCCUGUGCGAUGAAAGUUCAGCUAGAUGGCACUCUUGGUGAGCAGCAGGUUGAAAAAGAAAGGUCCAGUGAUGAGCCCUCAGUGCCUGUGGAGGCAGAUGUGAAAAAAGUUGAAGUUCACGAGGCAAGAAAAGCUUCUGAGAAGAAACCCAGAAAGCAAAAAUCUGCUAAAUCAAAGUCUACAGACCAGAUAAAGGGAACAUCUAAGAAUUCCACUGUGCAGCAAAUAAGGCAAUCAGAAAGUGAAAGGCCAAAUUUUGGUGACAACAAAUUUGAGUCUCAUAAUGGAGCAGGAGAAAAUCUUCAUGGCACGCCACCAGAAAAGAUAAGAGACAACAAGUUUGGGAUUUCUUCUGCAGAAAUUAAGUAUUCCCAACCAGAUAAAAGUUUUAUGUCUUCAGAUUUUACUACGGAUGACGCUGAAAUCACAGAAAAUGAUGAAUCUAAACCUGUUGUGUCUGUUUCAAUUCUCAAUGCCCAGGUAAAUGUGGGGCAACGAGCUUGGAAACCUGCACCUGGUUUCAAACCAAAAUCAUUGUUGGAAAUUCAACUGGAAGAACAGAGAAAGGCAAAGGCAGAAGUAGCAGUUUCUGAGAUCACCACUUCUGUGAGCUCCAUGACUUUGACAACUCCUUGGGUUGGGGUUGUGGGCAGUUCAGAGCCAAAGAUUUCCAGAGAAACUCCUAAAGAUGCAAGUAAUAAUGAGUUAAAUGUGGGGAAACCUGAAAUUUCACCUAAUUCAAAGAGCAAGAAAAGCCAGUUACAUGAUCUAUUGGCAGAAGAAGUUUUGGCAAAGUCUAAUGAUGGAGAGAUGGAGGUUCUUGAAAGUGUGUCUAGCUUGCCUUCUCAACAACUCACCAUGACUAAUGUGGAAUCUGUAGAUGAUGACAACUUUAUUGAAGCUAAAGAUACUAAAAAGAGUCGCAAAAAGUCUGCUAAAGCUAAGGGUACUGGCACUAAGGCCUUAGUGCCUACAACUGUUGAUGUGCCCGUUAGUUCAAGUCCUAUUGAGAAAGGAAAAAGCUCCCGUCUUGUGCAACAGGAGAAGGAAGUAUUGCCUGCAAUUCCGUCAGGCCCUUCUUUAGGAGAUUUUGUUUUUUGGAAAGGAGAGUCAACAACUCAUUCCCCUUCUCCAGCAUGGUCUACUGACACCAAGAAGCUCCCUAAACCCACCUCUUUAAGGGACAUACUAAUGGAGCAGGAGAAGAAGGUUUCUUCCGUCCAGCCUCAAAAUCCAAUGAUAACCCUUCAGAAACCCCAGCCAACUCAAGCUACCCAAGGAAGUGGUCCUUCAUGGUCACUUUCUGCUUCUUCUCCCUCUAAGGCUGCUUCUUCCAUCCAGAUCAAUUCCAAUGCUGCUAUUCAGUCAAAAUAUAAAGCAGAUGAUGACCUAUUCUGGGGCCCAGUUGAUCAAUCUAAGCAGGAAACUAAGCAGUCUGAAUUUCCUCAGCUGGUGAACCAGGGCAGUUGGGGAACCAAAAACACUCCUGUAAAAGGAACUCCAAGUGGUUCAUUAAGCCGACAAAAAUCCUUGGGUGGCAGGCAUGCUGAGCGUUCCCUUUCAUCCUCACCUGCCUCGGUUCAGUCAUCUCUUAAAGGGAAAAGAGAUACAAUUAACAAACAGUCUGGUAGAGUCACAAUACAAUUGAUGGUCUUUUCUUGUCAAAAAUAUUGGCUAAACCUAUAUGUUUUCACUCUUUUGCAGAGGCCAUGGACUUCAGAGAUUGGUGUGAAAGUGAGUGUGUUAGACUUAUUGGGACAAAAGGUAUCAGUCUGCUAUUUAGUUUCUGUUUGCCAGCAUUUAUUUUUCAUCAUUCUUGGUUAAAAGCAGCAGGGUAAGAAGGAUAUUUUGUAACUCAAUAAUUGCUUUCUUCUCAGAUGUUACCUUAGUUUAAAAUGAAUUAGAAUCAUAUGAGUGCAUAUAAGAAAUUGGAAACUAAAUAUGGUGUCUCAAACAUGAAGGCAUGUUAUAUAAAUCAAGGCAAAGUACUGCAGGAUUCUUCAUUGAUUUAAAGUACAAAUUCUGUUUCUGCAUCUCAAAAUUUCUGGCACUUGAACUUUAGAGGUGUAUUUGUCUUGUGCAAUUGUCAUAUAUGUAUAUUUUCGAUACUUGAUAGAUACGAGUUUCUUGGAGUUCUGCUCGAAGCAAUCCAGAUCAGAGGCUGAGAUGCUUCUGAUAGAGAAUCUUGGAUCAUUUGACCCCAAUCACGAGUUCAUUGACAAAUUCCUCAAUUAUAAAGAGUUGUUACCAGCAGAUGUACUCGAAAUCGCCUUUCAAAGUCGGAAUGAUCGAAUGGCCACUGCUUUCAGUGCUGGAGAUAUGAAUUUUGAAAAUGCUGGUGUUGGGGACUACGACCGUGAUAUCACCAUGGGACUUGAUGGGUCCUCAAAGGGUGGUGGAAAGAAAAAAGGAAAGAAAGGCAAGAAGGUUAGCCCUUCCGUUUUGGGAUUUAAUGUUGUCAGUAACAGGAUCAUGAUGGGUGAGAUUCAGACGGUUGAAGAUUAGGAGUCUUCUCAAGGUACAUGUAAAUACAAUUUGCUUUAACUAUGUGUAAGUGUUGUCUUAGGAUUUUUGUCUUGGCGUAAUGACGAAAAAAGCCAUAUCUUCUUGGUUUUUUUCUUCCAAAACUUCUAAUUUUGGCAAUUUUAUCCAAAUUGCCAAAGUUAUUGCAAUUCUAUCUCAUUUUUUCCAAUUAAUCGUUCAACUCCAUUUUAUGACUGAAUCCACAACCACUCACGAUGAUCCAAUCCCACAACUAUUACCAAUACUACCCAAACUUCAUUUUGAUAUCCAUAAUGCAUUAAAAACUUAGCCAUUUGGCCAAAUCAGGGCGGUUUGUUUGU